CAGAAAAUAAUUUAAUUAAAAAAUUUAAAUUUUGGAGAUUUAAUUUGACGUUGCUCUUUUCUGA
This 64-nucleotide transfer RNA is filed under the name Hyalessa maculaticollis. RNAcentral's name for it is "tRNA-Pro". The record is from RNAcentral. Lineage: Eukaryota; Metazoa; Arthropoda; Insecta; Hemiptera; Cicadidae.